CUGCCUUUGAAAGAAGACGACCCU
RNAcentral lists this non-coding RNA (24 nucleotides) under Cricetulus griseus (Chinese hamster). The record is from RNAcentral. Lineage: Eukaryota; Metazoa; Chordata; Mammalia; Rodentia; Cricetidae.